Molecule: transfer RNA, 73 nt
Filed under: Felis catus (domestic cat)
Lineage: Eukaryota; Metazoa; Chordata; Mammalia; Carnivora; Felidae
Rfam family: tRNA
About the family: Transfer RNA (tRNA) molecules are approximately 80 nucleotides in length. Their secondary structure includes four short double-helical elements and three loops (D, anti-codon, and T loops).
Source: Rfam by way of RNAcentral
GCCUGGCUGGUUCAGUUGGAAAAGCAUGUGACUCUGGGUCUCAGGGCUGUGGGUUCGAGCCCCAUGUUGGGUG